This 253-nucleotide ribosomal RNA is filed under the name uncultured bacterium. RNAcentral describes it as "partial 16S ribosomal RNA". It matches the Rfam family "Bacterial small subunit ribosomal RNA", at positions 524 to 776 of the family's 1533-position model. The record is from RNAcentral.
UACAGAGGUCUCAAGCGUUGUUCGGAUUCAUUGGGAGUAAAGGGUGCGUAGGCGGCGCGGUAAGUCGGGUGUGAAAUCUCGGAGCUUAACUCCGAAACUGCAUUCGAUACUGCCGUGCUUGAGGACUGGAGAGGAGACUGGAAUUUACGGUGUAGCGGUGAAAUGCGUAGAUAUCUGGAGGAAUACCGGUGGCGAAGGCGGCAUCCUGGACCGGCAUUGACGCUGAUGAGCGAAAGCUAGGGGAGCAAACGGG